AGAGUUUGAUCCUGGCUCAGGGUGAACGCUGGCGGCGCGCUUAAUGCAUGCAAGUCGAACGUGCCUUCGGGCAAGUGGCAGACGGCUGAGUAACGCGUGAGUAACGCACCCUUCGGUGGGGUAUAGCCUCGGGAAACUGAGGGUAAUCCCGCAUACGAUCCCGAUACCCUGGUUUCGGGAUGAAAGCCUUCGGGCGCCGGAGGAGCGGCUCGCGUCCUAUCAGGUAGUUGGUGAGGUAACGGCUCACCAAGCCGAUGACGGGUAGCUGGUCUUAGAGGACGAUCAGCCAGAGGGGGACUGAGACACGGCCCCCACUCCUACGGGAGGCAGCAGCAGGGAAUUUUGGGCAAUGGACGAAAGUCUGACCCAGCGACGUCGCGUGGGGGAUGAAGGCUCUAGGGCUGUAAACCCCUUUUCCGAGGGAAGAGGAAGGACGGUACCUCGGGAAUAAGCUCCGGCUAACUACGUGCCAGCAGCCGCGGUAAUACGUAGGGAGCGAGCGUUACCCGGAAUUACUGGGCGUAAAGAGCACGUAGGCGGCUGGAUAAGUCUUCUGUGAAAGCUCCCGGCUUAACUGGGAGAGGUCAGGGGAUACUAUUCGGCUUGAGGGCUGUAGAGGUAAGCGGAAUUCCCGGUGUAGCGGUGAAAU
Molecule: ribosomal RNA, 649 nt
Filed under: uncultured bacterium
Lineage: Bacteria
Description: bacterial SSU rRNA
Rfam family: Bacterial small subunit ribosomal RNA
Source: RNAcentral